CGAGGGUCCCACUGUCUCCCCCCUCCAAUCAGUGAAACUGAUCUCCCCGUGAAGAAGCGGGGAUAAGUAUAUUAGACGAGAAGACCCCAUGGAGCUUUAAACCCGACAGCACCCACUUAUUUAACACCUUCUUAUCCGCCUGGCCCCUGUCUGCUCGGUUUUGGGUUGGGGUGACCGCGGAGCAUAAAAUAGCCUCCNCGAAAGAAGGGAUGAUUCCCUCAUUUUAGAACUACACUUCCAAAGACUAACAAAUUAAUUUUAAGUGAUCCGAUACCCGUAUUCGAUCAACGAACCAAGUUACCCUGGGGAUAACAGCGCAGUGAUGUUUCUAAAUAGAAAUGUCGUGUCUGUAGAACACGAACGGCGAG
Molecule: ribosomal RNA, 368 nt
Filed under: Boophis reticulatus
Lineage: Eukaryota; Metazoa; Chordata; Amphibia; Anura; Mantellidae
Description: partial 16S ribosomal RNA
Rfam family: Bacterial large subunit ribosomal RNA
Source: RNAcentral